Molecule: unclassified non-coding RNA, 264 nt
Filed under: Glomus sp.
Lineage: Eukaryota; Fungi; Glomeromycota; Glomeromycetes; Glomerales; Glomeraceae
Description: partial contains 5.8S ribosomal RNA and internal transcribed spacer 2
Rfam family: 5.8S ribosomal RNA (bases 1-71)
Source: RNAcentral
GUGAAUCAUCGAAUUUUUGAACGCAAAUUGCACUCUCUGGUAUUCCGGAGAGUAUGCCUGUUUGAGGGCCAGUUGAAAUAAAAAUCGGUGUGGUUGCUGCCUUUCGUGGUGACGCACCGGAUGUGGGUCGUCUUGCCUACGGUUAAGAGACCUAAAAUUUUGCAUGAUUGUUUAGAACGUAUCUAAAUGAUUUUACGGAAGGUUGGGAUAUCGAAUACUAGGUGUGGGUAUUCUCAUGGUUCGCGCCUAUAAUUUUUGAUGAAA